AGAAUCAACGCUGGCGGCGUGCCUAAACACAUGCAAGUCGGAACGAGAAAGUGGAGCAAUCCAUGAGUAAAGUGGCGCACGGGUGAGUAACACGUGACUAACCUACCCUUGAGUGGGGGAUAACCUAGAGAAAUCUGGGCUAAUACCGCAUAAUACCUUCGGGUCAAAGGAGCAAUUCGCUUAAGGAGGGGGUCGCGGCCGAUUAGUUAGUUGGCGGGGUAAUGGCCCACCAAGACUAUGAUCGGUA
Molecule: ribosomal RNA, 247 nt
Filed under: uncultured bacterium
Lineage: Bacteria
Description: partial small subunit ribosomal RNA
Rfam family: Bacterial small subunit ribosomal RNA
Source: RNAcentral